GAUGAACGCUGACAGAAUGCUUAACACAUGCAAGUCAUUGGCGAAGCUGCGCUUGCGCAGUCUAGCCAAGGCGGACGGGUGAGUAACGCGUAAGGAACUUGCCCUGCAGACAGGGAUAACAGACGGAAACGACUGAUAACACCUGGUAUUGUCAGGCUGGCGCAUGCCGGCCUGAUGAAAGGAGACGCUGCAGGAGAGCCUUGCGUCCUAUUAGCUAGUUGGUGGGGUAACGGCCCACCAAGGCGAUGAUAGGUAGCCGGCCUGAGAGGGUGAACGGCCACAAGGGGACUGAGAUACGGCCCUUACUCCUACGGGAGGCAGCAGUGGGGAAUAUUGGACAAUGGGGGCAACCCUGAUCCAGCAAUUCUGUGUGAACGAAGAAGGUUUUCGGAGUGUAAAGUGCUUUCAGCAGGGAAGAAGAAAGUGACGGUACCUGCAGAAGAAGCGACGGCUAAAUACGUG
RNAcentral lists this ribosomal RNA (462 nucleotides) under uncultured bacterium. RNAcentral's name for it is "partial 16S ribosomal RNA". It matches the Rfam family "Bacterial small subunit ribosomal RNA", at positions 28 to 507 of the family's 1533-position model. The record is from RNAcentral.